Vulpes vulpes (red fox) is the source of this 1612-nucleotide long non-coding RNA. The record is from Ensembl. Lineage: Eukaryota; Metazoa; Chordata; Mammalia; Carnivora; Canidae.
CUGGACCACAGAAGCAGCCCCUAACAGCCCUUUUGUCCCGCUCCAGCACAGGCAGGCCUUCUAUGCCAGGCUACGACACACUUGCUGGACACAGAAAGCCAGUGCUCCAGGGGUAUCGUCUCCAGUGGGGCAGAAGGAUAGGAACUGCCAGCCUGACCACUAUCCUGACCUGGAGGAGGCAGCCAAGAGGAAGGGGCCCGUAGGAAAGGGCACCACGCCCCAGCGUCAGGGUGGGGGUGACUGGGAGGCCAGGAGUCAAAGGGCCGUACCACCAUAGAGGCUGAAGAACUCAGAGGAACAUUCUGCAAGUCCCUCUUACACCAGCCUCUGGUGCAUGUGCCUCAUGCCCUCUCAGCCAGGCUGCUGAGCUUCUCCUCUUCCUCUGUCCAUUCUUGCUCAUGUAAAAGUCCUGACCAGUAUCUCUGUGUCUUUCAAUAAGCACCAAAUCUUAUCUAUAGCACUCUUCAGUUUUACAUUCGCUUUCAAUUUGACUGUCAAAAUUCUUUUCCCUGCCCUCAUGGCCCUUGCCUUCCCUCCCACCCACUCCCAGCCUCUCCCCAAGGAAACCAGGAGUUGCACAUCUGAGCUGCCCUUAGCAGCCACUUCUCCAAAUUUCCAGGGCCAUGUGACUGUCUGUGAUCUCCUGUGGGGUCAUUAUCCAGUUCAAACACUUGACCAACCAUCUGCCAUAGCUGUGGCUUCCGGUCUCUCCCCAUUCCUCCUGAGCAAGGGAGGCCUGGCUGGUGCAGGGCUCUGCGGUUCCUCCUUGCCAUCCACAGUGAGAGAGGCUCAGCCACAGCAGAGAUCUUCAGUGAAAGUCAGCUAGAUGUGCGGACACCACUUACCGUAACAUUAAUAACAGAUGUAGGUGUUGCUUGGAGAACAAGAAAAGGAAGUAAUGCCUGGCCUGACGGGAAGCAAGGGAUGGAGAGGGCAGUAGCUAAGACUGGCAGGACAACACGGAAUCACUCAAGAAUUUGACCUGAGCAGGAGCUGGAGGGAUGUAGAGAAGCCAUGCGAAUGUAAAUGUCCCAGGAAUCUUCCAACAGCCUGGAAGAUUAAUUCUCUCCCUGUAAUUCGGGAUGGAGGCUUGAGUCAUUUGAUUAGGAUGUUAGAGAAAAGUGUGAUUCCCAGAAAACUAAAGGAUUUGGAAAGCCUCUGUUUUGCCUCAUGCAAUUCUCCCAAAGGUGUAAAUAGCUCAUUUUUCUCCAAGUCAUUUAAGAUGUCUGGAUGCAAAAGCCAGGGCCCUGACACAUGCUGUGACUGGCCCUCUCUGCUCCCACUGCGUCUCUUGAACAGAAAAAUCCUACCUGCCUUCCAGCUCCAUCCGUUUCUGCACAGAUGCUUGGUCAAAAGCAUUCCCUGAUGUGGAAUUUCCUGUUCUAUCUUACUCUCCACACCAGAGCAGUCUAAACCUCUUUCCUUGAGAACUGCAGUGUUACAAACCCUAACUCUGAAGUCAGGCAGCCUGAUUGUAUGACCUCAACUUCACUGGGAUUCAGUUUCGUAAAUAAUGAAAAAAAGCCCAUUAAAUAACGAAGUAAAGCCCAUUUCAUAGGAUGGGUAUGAGGAUUAAGUGGGGGGAAAUAAAGGGAAAAAAGGUGAAGUAUCA